This 68-nucleotide transfer RNA is filed under the name pig gut metagenome. It matches the Rfam family "tRNA". From Rfam's summary of the family: Transfer RNA (tRNA) molecules are approximately 80 nucleotides in length. Their secondary structure includes four short double-helical elements and three loops (D, anti-codon, and T loops). The record is from RNAcentral.
CCUGUAGCUCAGUUGGAUAGAGCAACGGCCUUCUAAGCCGUGGGUCGCGGGUUCGAGUCCCUCCAGGC